UUCCAGCUCCAAUAGCGUAUAUUAAAGUUGUUGCAGUUAAAAAGCUCGUAGUUGAAUUUCGGGACCAAUAUGUCGGUCGUACUUUGUACGUACUAGCAUUAUUGGUUUCUCCCUUCUGAAGAAUCGCGAUGUCAUUAAUUUGGUGUCGUGGGGAAUCAGGACUGUUACUUUGAAAAAAUUAGUGUUUAAAGCAGGCUCGCGCUUGAAUACAUUAGCAUGGAAUAAUGAAAUAGGACGUUUGAUUCUAUUUUGUUGGUUUCUAGGAUCGACGUAAUGAUUAAUAGGGAUAGUUGGGGGCAUUAGUAUUCAAUUGUCAGAGGUGAAAUUCUUGGAUUUAUUGAAGACUAACUACUGCGAAAGCAUUUGCCAAGGAUGUUUUCAUUAAUCAAGAACGAAAGUUAGGGGAUCGAAGACGAUCAGAUACCGUCGUAGUCUUAACCAUAAACUAUGCCGACUAGGGAUCGG
This 465-nucleotide ribosomal RNA is filed under the name uncultured Glomus. Its description in RNAcentral is "SSU rRNA". It matches the Rfam family "Eukaryotic small subunit ribosomal RNA", at positions 583 to 1056 of the family's 1831-position model. The record is from RNAcentral. Lineage: Eukaryota; Fungi; Glomeromycota; Glomeromycetes; Glomerales; Glomeraceae.